Non-coding RNA from Caenorhabditis elegans, 21 nucleotides. Lineage: Eukaryota; Metazoa; Nematoda; Chromadorea; Rhabditida; Rhabditidae. The record is from Ensembl.
UUUUCAAGAAUAAAUUUCAGA